Long non-coding RNA from Papaver somniferum (opium poppy), 5054 nucleotides. RefSeq lists it as uncharacterized. Lineage: Eukaryota; Viridiplantae; Streptophyta; Magnoliopsida; Ranunculales; Papaveraceae. The record is from RefSeq and is a predicted model, not a curated record. The transcript has 2 exons.
CUGUUGAAUUAUUAAGGCAUAUUCUAUCUUUUACCAAAACAAAGAAAAGAGAUUUUCAUUUCUCUCUUCAAGCAGCUGCACCUUGCAUGAUGUGAGACUGAAUUCAAAGAUGAAUUAUCGGUGAGAGUAUACAAGGUCAAGAAGAAGAGCCGGUGAUGGAUCUACGCUGUUUUCUAAUACUUAUAAUGAUUCUGAUUUUGGGAAGUUGUGGUGACGACGAUAACAACAAUAGACAGAUUUGAGGGCUUCUUCCGACAACAAUAGGUUCGAUUCGAGAUGUUAAUCAGGAUUGGGGUUUCAUAUGUGCUAGCUGAAUGGAUUUCAUGGGUUCGUACUCAUACUGAAAUUGGGUUCAUGUGAGAGGAAGUAGAUGGCUGAAUCUUAGUGACAGUGGUGGUUUUGAACUGGAAUUCAGGGAGAAUGGAACAAAUUUGGGGUUUGUUAACCCAACUGAGUUUGGGGGAUUAAAUGGUGGAGGUACAGGUCUUGCGAUUGAACGAAGAUGGGUUUGAUGCUGAUAGAGAUGUUCAUGACUGCAACACUUUUCUAUCUCAACUGAUUUUAAAUUUUAUCUCAUUAUCAACAGCAAUAUUAAUACAUGAAGGUUCUGUUGUGCCGAAAUUCAGGAGAUGAUUGCAAUUGGUUUUGUUGGUGGCUGUAUGCGGAUCCGUAGAAGUUUAGAGAAUGGAAAACGGUUGAAAGUGGCUGGAGCAAUGGUGUUAAUCAGACGCAUGAAGGGCUCACUGUUGUUUAGGUUGGAAGUAAAUGGAGUGACAAGUUCAGGGACUCUUAUGAACUCGUGGUAUUAUCGAUCAUGGUAACUCAUAUUAGCUUUUGCAGACGGCAAGGAGGGUCCUGGUUCAGUAAUUUGAUUGUUUGUGAAGUAGUUGGUUGAGCUGCUGCUACCGGUAUACAGGACAGUUCUGGAUGGACAUAUGAGUAAAACCUAGCCCAUGAUGGAUUCCCGGAUCCUUAACCCUUUCUCAUCUUGCUCGACUCUUUAAUAGCUUAGUUUGCAUUUUAUUUUUGUUAGUAUAAAUUUCAGAAAUCAUCCUCUUGAAUUCAUAUUGAUUAGAAAGUUAGUUGCAUUAGUUAGAACUAGUUUACACUCCUCGUGGGAACGAACCACAUUUGCUAUUGUCUACAAUUUGGACACCGUGCACUUGUGGUAAAACAAAGUCGGUCUUCCGACCCAUUCAAGUUUUUGGCGCCGCUGCCGGGGAGUCGUUUCAAAACACUCUUUUUGAUAUCUUCAAUUGUCUAGUCAUAGUUUCUGUACAUAGUGUAUUUUUGUUUUUAUUUUAUUUUUAGUUCCUUUUCAUACUUUUCUUUUAGAUUUUUCUUUUCAGGUACUCUUGUUGCGGCGAUGGCGUUUUAUCGAGGGGAUGAGUCCGGGUUUCUCGGAGAAUACAUGUAUGAACCACAAUAUCAAGAGAUUCAGGAAAUAAAUCGUCUCAGGUAUGGAAAUCGUUAUCAGCAUUACUACAAAGCUGAUGAUUAUUCACAUGAGUACCAAAGUUACCAUCGGGAUGAUUUGUCACAUGCUGAGAUUUUCAACCAGAAUAUAGCUAGUCUGGAAAGAUGGUUAGAGAUGCUAGAAAUCCAGAGGUCAUAUGAAAAUAAUAAUCAGGUUUAUAGUAACUCGUGUUCCAUUGAUUCACAUAUGUACCAAACCCAAUAUCAUGGGGAUAAUUAUUUGCAUGAGGUAUGUGAAUAAUCUUUGAAUUGGCAGCUCAAUGAGGUUUUAGACUAUAGAAAUUUGAGCUUGGAAGAUAGCUUAAGGUUGUACACAUUACAAAUUAGUCGAAAAACGUCUCAACUUCAACAGACCACUCAAUUUUUUUUAGAAAACAUUGAAUAUCAAGUAAGUCAAAUGACUAGACAGUUGGAGGAGGAACAGAGUUGGUUCCCAAACCAGUCUCAAUCCCAAUCUAAUUGUACCUUAGAGUAUAUUGAUUAUUCUUCUGAGGAAGAAAUUGUUAAUGAUCAACUUGUAGAAGUUUUGAGUGGAAGUGAGGAUACCCAAAAUUCAGAUAAUUAUGAUGUUGAAGAACCUGCAUAUGUAGAGGAUGCUACUAUUAGUGUCAUGACUCAAAGGUGAUAGAUGUUCAUAAUGGGAAACCUUCUAAUCAUUUGAAUUCUGAGAUUCAUAAUACUGUUGAAAACGAUAACAAUAUAGUUAUUCAUAAUAACGUUGCUGCACUAUGCCCAAUUUUUGUUGAUCCAUCUAAAAGCUCUCGGGAUGCAUGUAUGAAUGUGGAGCCGAUUGAUACAGGGCAAUCAACUUGGGCCGCUGAUUUUGAACCACUCUCCACGUGUUUAGCCCAUUUUGCAAACUCUGAUGACCCUAUACUAAUUGACAUGUCAAUGCAUUUGAUUCUUCGAUGGGUAAUAUAGGUAACUUAACAACGGAAGUUAUUUCCGCGGACCUAGGCCCAGAUUUUUAGGGGUUAUUGCUUUUGAUGAAAUUGAACCACGAGACACAUGUUUAAAUCAUUUUGAGUAUAAUGAUCCGGUGCCUAGUGUAACUGUUAGUGCAUUGAUUCCUCCGAUUCCUAACGAAGAUAGUUUUUCAAUUGAAAAUAUUUCAGUUGAACUUGAAGCAGAUUUAGGGUCUGCGCUACACACUAUCAAACAAUCUGUACCUGUUGGUGUGAAUGAUUUACUGUUCCCGACAAAGUAUGACUUGAUUAUUAUGGAAUGUUUUACAUAGGGUGGAUCUUCACAUAUUUUUGGCUGAUUAUAGUCUUCACAGGUUCUUAUUUGCAGCUAACCUGAUAAGAUGGGUUGAUCCCCAACUUUUCAGACUUUAUAUUUUAUAUAUAUGCCAGGUUGCAGUUUUGUAUCAUUUUCGGUUUGUUGAGAUUACUUGCUGCGCGCAAGCUAGGAGCAAAUAUCAUUCGCUUCGUGGGAGUCAACCCAUCAGUUUUGUUCCCUUUACUCUAUUUUCUAAUUUUUAUCGCCUCUUGCAUAUCGCAUUUUGGAAUUUCCCACCUUAGCUCUAUGUUGGAUGACUGAAUUACAUUGAGGACAAUGUAAUGUUUAAGUGUGGGGGAGUGGUGAAGUAUAUAUGGAUUUGUGGUAGGAAUUCAAUUUCGUUAUGAAUUUUCUUACAAAAAAGAAUAAAAUAUGGAUCACUUUCGUCAAGACAAUACCAGCUGUUGAGCGGGUCUGUUAACAAUUUAUUUGCAUAGCAAGACCAACUGUGCAGCGGGUCUAUUUUUGUCUUUUCUUACCAUUUCAUGACCAGCUGUGGAGCGGGUCUCUAAAAAGAAAAAGAAAAAAAAAGUUUGCAACAUGACCAGCUGUUGAGCGGGUCUUUCUGAUCGUUUGUCUCGCUGUUUAGCAGACGUCUCUUCAUAUCCAGCUGUUGAGCGGAUAUAUUUCUGUUUUGCUCGGGACUAGAAAAAUCAAAUACAAGCAGUUUAGUUCACUCGGAAGAUAAAUGGCUUAAGUGAAAGCUAAAUGGCAUUUCCAAUUACAAGGAUCAAUUUUACUGCUCACUGCACGAGAACCUUGAAUAUGGAUGGCAUGGUAUUCCUAUAUCAGCACCACUCAAGGCUCAAGCCAUCUCACGUAUGUGACGGGAAACAAGAAUCAAUCAAGCACGACCCACUAGUUGCUAAAGGGAAAUUGGAGACGGGGCUUCUCUCCUACCACAUUUCUCUGUUGAAUUAUUAAGGCAUAUAUAUAUAUAUAUAUAUUCUAUCUUUUACCAAAACAAAGAAAAGAGAUUUUCUUUUAUCUCUUCAAGCAGUUGCACCUUGCAUGAUAGGAGACUGAAUUCAAAGAUGAAUUAUCGGUGAGAGUAUACAAGGUCAAGAAGAAGAGCCGGUGAUGGAUCUACGCUGUUUUCUAAUACUUAUAAUGAUUCUGAUUUUGGGAAGUUGUGGUGACGACGACAAAAACAAUAGACAGAUUUGAGGGCUUCUUCCAACAACAAUAGGUUCGAUUCGAGAUUUUAAUCAGGAUUGGGGUUUCAUGUGUGCUAGCUGAAUGGAUUUCAGGGGUUCGUACUCAUACUGAAAUUGGGUUCAUGUGAGAGGAAGUAGAUGGCUGAAUCUUAGUGACAGUGGUGGUUUUGAACUGGAAUUCAGGGAGAAUGGAACAAAUUUGGGGUUUAUUAACCCAACUGAGUUUGGGGGAUUAAAUGGUGGCGGUACAGGUCUUGCGAGUGAACGAAGAUGGGUUUGCUGCUGAUAAAGAUGUUCAUGACUGCAAAAAUUUUCCAUCUCAACUGAGUUUAAAUUGUCUCUCACUAUCAACAACAACAUUAAUACAUGAAGGUUCUGUUGUGCCGAAAUUCAGGAGAUGAUUGCAAUUGGUUUUGUUAGCAGUGGUUAGUUGAGAGCUUUAAGAAGAUAAUGGAGACGUCAGUCGACAUCAAUUCCUGAAGAAUGCCAUGAAAUCAAAGAUGGGGUCAACUGGUGGUGGCUGUAUGCGGAUCUGCAGACAUGGUUGGAGUUGAACUGGUUGCAUCGGUUAAAGUAGAAGUUUAGAGAAUGGAAGACGGUUGAAAGUGGCUGGAGCAAUGGUGUUAAUAGGACGCAUGAAGGGCUCACUGUUGUUUAGGUUGGAAUUAAAUGGAGUGACAAGUUCAGGGACUCUUAUGAACUCGUGGUAUUAUCGAUCAGGGUAACUCAUAAUAGCUUUUGCAGACGGCAAGGAGGGUCCUGGUUCAGUAAUUUGAUUGUUUGUGGAGUAGUUGGUUGAGCUGCUGCUACGGGUAUACAGGACAGUGCCUGGAUGGACAUAUUAUAGAAACUGGUUAGGUUGUUGGAUUUGGGAAUUAGUGGAUUUUGGAUUGGGGCCUUUGGAGUUUGCUUGAAGGGUCCAAGUAGGAGUCUUUGCUGCACCUACAAAUAACCAGCGAGAUGGAUUGGAUGGACACCGUCAACUGGAGAAACUAGGGUUUGGUGUUUUACUAAUUUCUUUUCUCCAUGAUUUUCUAAACUAUUGUCAGGGUGAAAGGAUGAACAUAUAGGUUAGAUUAUUUAUGUUCAUGAACAAGAGGUUCUUUAAUCAAAAGCUUAUUGUUAUGUUUGAGUAUCUCA